RNAcentral lists this ribosomal RNA (2417 nucleotides) under Klebsiella pneumoniae. RNAcentral describes it as "partial 23S ribosomal RNA". It matches the Rfam family "Bacterial large subunit ribosomal RNA", at positions 419 to 2823 of the family's 2925-position model. The record is from RNAcentral. Lineage: Bacteria; Pseudomonadati; Pseudomonadota; Gammaproteobacteria; Enterobacterales; Enterobacteriaceae.
GGGACACGUGGUAUCCUGUCUGAAUAUGGGGGGACCAUCCUCCAAGGCUAAAUACUCCUGACUGACCGAUAGUGAACCAGUACCGUGAGGGAAAGGCGAAAAGAACCCCGGCGAGGGGAGUGAAAAAGAACCUGAAACCGUGUACGUACAAGCAGUGGGAGCACCUUCGGGUGUGACUGCGUACCUUUUGUAUAAUGGGUCAGCGACUUAUAUUCUGUAGCAAGGUUAACCGUAUAGGGGAGCCGCAGGGAAACCGAGUCUUAACUGGGCGUUAAGUUGCAGGGUAUAGACCCGAAACCCGGUGAUCUAGCCAUGGGCAGGUUGAAGGUUGGGUAACACUAACUGGAGGACCGAACCGACUAAUGUUGAAAAAUUAGCGGAUGACUUGUGGCUGGGGGUGAAAGGCCAAUCAAACCGGGAGAUAGCUGGUUCUCCCCGAAAGCUAUUUAGGUAGCGCCUCGUGAAUUCAUCUUCGGGGGUAGAGCACUGUUUCGGCUAGGGGGUCAUCCCGACUUACCAACCCGAUGCAAACUACGAAUACCGAAGAAUGUUAUCACGGGAGACACACGGCGGGUGCUAACGUCCGUCGUGAAGAGGGAAACAACCCAGACCGCCAGCUAAGGUCCCAAAGUCAUGGUUAAGUGGGAAACGAUGUGGGAAGGCACAGACAGCCAGGAUGUUGGCUUAGAAGCAGCCAUCAUUUAAAGAAAGCGUAAUAGCUCACUGGUCGAGUCGGCCUGCGCGGAAGAUGUAACGGGGCUAAACCAUGCACCGAAGCUGCGGCAGCGACACUAUGUGUUGUUGGGUAGGGGAGCGUUCUGUAAGCCUGCGAAGGUGUGCUGUGAGGCAUGCUGGAGGUAUCAGAAGUGCGAAUGCUGACAUAAGUAACGAUAAAGCGGGUGAAAAGCCCGCUCGCCGGAAGACCAAGGGUUCCUGUCCAACGUUAAUCGGGGCAGGGUGAGUCGACCCCUAAGGCGAGGCCGAAAGGCGUAGUCGAUGGGAAACAGGUUAAUAUUCCUGUACUUGGUGUUACUGCGAAGGGGGGACGGAGAAGGCUAUGUUAGCCGGGCGACGGUUGUCCCGGUUUAAGCAUGUAGGCUGGUUGUCCAGGCAAAUCCGGAUAAUCAAGGCUGAGGUGUGAUGACGAGGCACUACGGUGCUGAAGUAACAAAUGCCCUGCUUCCAGGAAAAGCCUCUAAGCAUCAGGUAACAUCAAAUCGUACCCCAAACCGACACAGGUGGUCAGGUAGAGAAUACCAAGGCGCUUGAGAGAACUCGGGUGAAGGAACUAGGCAAAAUGGUGCCGUAACUUCGGGAGAAGGCACGCUGGUGUGUAGGUGAAGUCCCUGCGGAUGGAGCUGAGACCAGUCGAAGAUACCAGCUGGCUGCAACUGUUUAUUAAAAACACAGCACUGUGCAAACACGAAAGUGGACGUAUACGGUGUGACGCCUGCCCGGUGCCGGAAGGUUAAUUGAUGGGGUUAUCCGUAAGGAGAAGCUCUUGAUCGAAGCCCCGGUAAACGGCGGCCGUAACUAUAACGGUCCUAAGGUAGCGAAAUUCCUUGUCGGGUAAGUUCCGACCUGCACGAAUGGCGUAAUGAUGGCCAGGCUGUCUCCACCCGAGACUCAGUGAAAUUGAACUCGCUGUGAAGAUGCAGUGUACCCGCGGCAAGACGGAAAGACCCCGUGAACCUUUACUAUAGCUUGACACUGAACAUUGAGCCUUGAUGUGUAGGAUAGGUGGGAGGCUUUGAAGCGUGGACGCCAGUCUGCGUGGAGCCAACCUUGAAAUACCACCCUUUAAUGUUUGAUGUUCUAACGUUGGCCCCUUACCGGGGUUGCGGACAGUGUCUGGUGGGUAGUUUGACUGGGGCGGUCUCCUCCCAAAGCGUAACGGAGGAGCACGAAGGUUAGCUAAUCCUGGUCGGACAUCAGGAGGUUAGUGCAAUGGCAUAAGCUAGCUUGACUGCGAGCGUGACGGCGCGAGCAGGUGCGAAAGCAGGUCAUAGUGAUCCGGUGGUUCUGAAUGGAAGGGCCAUCGCUCAACGGAUAAAAGGUACUCCGGGGAUAACAGGCUGAUACCGCCCAAGAGUUCAUAUCGACGGCGGUGUUUGGCACCUCGAUGUCGGCUCAUCACAUCCUGGGGCUGAAGUAGGUCCCAAGGGUAUGGCUGUUCGCCAUUUAAAGUGGUACGCGAGCUGGGUUUAGAACGUCGUGAGACAGUUCGGUCCCUAUCUGCCGUGGGCGCUGGAGAAUUGAGGGGGGCUGCUCCUAGUACGAGAGGACCGGAGUGGACGCAUCACUGGUGUUCGGGUUGUCAUGCCAAUGGCACUGCCCGGUAGCUAAAUGCGGAAGAGAUAAGUGCUGAAAGCAUCUAAGCACGAAACUUGCCCCGAGAUGAGUUCUCCCUGAGACUU